CUACGGUGAAUACGUUCCCGGACCUUGUACACACCGCCCGUCAAGCCAUGGAAGCUGGGUGUACCUAAAGUCGAUAACCGUAAGGAGUCGCCUAGGGUAAACUAGUAACUGGGGCUAAGUCGUAACAAGGUACCC
This 135-nucleotide ribosomal RNA is filed under the name uncultured bacterium. RNAcentral's name for it is "partial 16S ribosomal RNA". It matches the Rfam family "Bacterial small subunit ribosomal RNA", at positions 1357 to 1501 of the family's 1533-position model. The record is from RNAcentral.